Molecule: transfer RNA, 73 nt
Filed under: Bos taurus (domestic cattle)
Lineage: Eukaryota; Metazoa; Chordata; Mammalia; Artiodactyla; Bovidae
Also listed under: 1 other name
Rfam family: tRNA
About the family: Transfer RNA (tRNA) molecules are approximately 80 nucleotides in length. Their secondary structure includes four short double-helical elements and three loops (D, anti-codon, and T loops).
Source: Rfam by way of RNAcentral
UCCCUGGUGGUCCAAUGGUUAAGACUCUGAACUUCCAAUGCAGGGAGUGUGGGUUUGAGUCCUGGUCGGGGAU